This 234-nucleotide unclassified non-coding RNA is filed under the name Hevea brasiliensis (rubber tree). The record is from RNAcentral. Lineage: Eukaryota; Viridiplantae; Streptophyta; Magnoliopsida; Malpighiales; Euphorbiaceae.
GGGAGAGAGAGAUGAAUAAGGAAAGGUGGUGUGUGUGGGUGCUUACUGCCUUGGUUGUGACUAACAAGAUAACCUAGAAAUAGAAUCAAUCAAUCACCAAGACAUAAAUAACAUUAGAUUUUGGGUUUUUUUCCUAUUUGGUAAGAUUUCCAAAUCUCCCUUUGGCUCUUUUCUUAAAUGGAAUUGAACAGCAUUUCUUAUGGUUUUCCUUGUUUUCUCUGGAUCAAUCAACAA